UUUCGGUAGGCAUAGAGUAUCUCUUACUGUUAGAUGGUGCACAGAAGAAACAGCCAACAGGUGCAUGAACACAAUCUUCCGGAAAACAAUAACAUAAUGACAGGUCACAAGCUACCACUACCGUACUAGGAAGCUACAAGCUAGUGUUUUCGAAAGUGGCAAUCAUGUGUACUACUAGCCUGUUCGCUUCAGGAAAAGAAAACAUCAAACCUGUAUAUCUGAG
RNAcentral lists this long non-coding RNA (223 nucleotides) under Setaria italica (foxtail millet). RNAcentral's name for it is "long non-coding RNA (SITA_LNC004104)". Lineage: Eukaryota; Viridiplantae; Streptophyta; Magnoliopsida; Poales; Poaceae. The record is from RNAcentral.